This 253-nucleotide ribosomal RNA is filed under the name uncultured bacterium. RNAcentral's name for it is "partial 16S ribosomal RNA". It matches the Rfam family "Bacterial small subunit ribosomal RNA", at positions 524 to 776 of the family's 1533-position model. The record is from RNAcentral.
GACGAACCGAGCGAACGUUGUUCGGAAUCACUGGGCUUAAAGGGCGCGUAGGCGGGUGCUCAAGUCUGUGGUGAAAUCCUCCGGCUCAACCGGAGAACUGCCAUGGAUACUGGGUGCCUCGAGGGUGGUAGGGGUAUGCGGAACUAUCGGUGGAGCGGUGAAAUGUGUUGAUAUCGAUAGGAACUCCGGUGGCGAAGGCGGCAUACUGGACCACUUCUGACGCUGAGGCGCGAAAGCCAGGGGAGCGAACGGG